RNAcentral lists this long non-coding RNA (806 nucleotides) under Helianthus annuus (common sunflower). The record is from RNAcentral. Lineage: Eukaryota; Viridiplantae; Streptophyta; Magnoliopsida; Asterales; Asteraceae.
AUGCAAAAAUGGGCGGUCCCAAGGGGUUUUUAAUGCAUAAUUCCUUUUUAAUAUGAUCUCUAUAAAUGAAAUGGAUGCAAGCAACUAACCAAACUUAAUACUUCACUAGAGGUGCAAAAAUGGAUCUUCCCUAGGGGCGUUAACAGGUCGGGUCAGGUUUCACACUCACGAUCCUUAAAUUUAUGUUUUAAGGUAUAAUCCUUUUUAAUACAAUUGCUUGGAUGCAAGUGGGUUGGUAACCCAACCAAACAUUUCACUAGAUGUUUAAAUAUGGAUGGUCCCUAGGGGUCUAAACAGGUCGGGUAGGGUUUCAAACUAAAGAUCGUUAAAUCUAUGUUCUUAAAGCAUAAUCUUCUUUAAUACAAUUGCUGGAAGUGAAAUGGAUGCAAGUGGGUCAGUAACCAAACUUCUCAUUUCACUAGACGCACAAAGAAUGAAUGGUCCGGGGUAUUUCCGGAUCGGGUUGGAGCAAGUUUGAAACUUAAGAUAUUUAAAUAUUGGUUUUUACAUCAUAAUCCCUUACUAAAGCACAUUCCUUUUUAACCAUAAUCAUGUUAUUUAACAGUCAGGAAGGUAAUGUGGAUCAUCGACUUCAUUAAAUAAAAUGGACUGUUUAUCGAAAAAUAGUGAUUUUUGUUUUGUUACUAGAUGUUAUCAUCUAUCAUUAACCUUUUUAUAUGCUUUAGACAAGAUUCGUAUUGAGAGCUUAGUUCAUAUUAUACCUAACAAAGCUAGCAACACAUUGAGCAUCAUUGAUGGUGGAGGUGGAACGCCAAGGCUGUUAGGUGAACAAUCUCGGUGCCGUU